This is an RNA transcript of Entelurus aequoreus (snake pipefish), 3787 nucleotides long. It is a transcript of the gene named Scm polycomb group protein like 2, with no coding region annotated. The transcript is spliced from 15 exons. NCBI's taxonomy places the organism in Eukaryota, Metazoa, Chordata, Actinopteri, Syngnathiformes, Syngnathidae. The record is from RefSeq and is a predicted model, not a curated record.
GCUGCAUCCAAGAUGGCGGCCUGCAUCUGACACAGUAGUGAGAGUGAGAGCGCCUCCAUGAAAAUAUAACUUAUUAUACUUCUUCUAACUUCUUCUAACUCGGUAAGAGCCUGUCUGACCACCUGUGCCGCAGCACGACUACAUCCUGGUCACUAUGGGCCGCACGCCACACAAAGACCAGAAAGAAGAAAAGAAGGAGAGGCCCAGUAAUAUCAGCAGCACUUCUGUGCUGGACAAAUCUAAUGAGCCCUUCAGUUGGGAAGACUACCUGAGAGAAACCUCCACUGUUGCUGCCUCACCCACGUGUUUCAAGCAGUCCAGAAUCCCCCCCUCCAAUGACUUUAAGGCGGGCAUGAAGCUUGAGGCUCGCGACCCUCGCAACGCCAACUCUGUGUGCAUCGCCACGGUGAUGGGCAUGAUGGGUACUCGCCUGCGCCUGCGCCUGGAUGGCAGUGACAACACCAACGACUUCUGGAGACUGGUGGACUCCUCUGACAUCCAACCCAUAGGAACCUGUGAGAGGACCGGGGACAUGCUGCAGCCCCCGCUAGGUUUCAGGAUGAACGCUUCCUCCUGGCCUAUGUUCCUCCUGCGGACGCUGAGUGGAGCAGAAAUGGCACCAGCCUCUUCCUUUAAGAAGGAACCGGCUUGCCCCGUGGAAAACUACUUUCAAGCUGGAAUGAAGCUGGAAGCUGUGGACAGGAAGAACCCCUACCUGAUUUGUCCCGCCACAGUGGGCGAGGUCAAAGGCCCGGAGAUCUUUGUCAUGUUUGACGGCUGGCGAGGAGCCUUCGACUACUGGUGCCCCUUCCACUCCAGAGACAUCUUCCCCGUGGGCUGGUGUGCCCUGACCAAGCACAGUCUGCAACCGCCCGGAAACUUCUUCACCCUCCCAGGUGCCCUCCUGGCCCCCGUGUCCUCCUCCUCGCCAUCCCUGUCCACACGCCGCUCCACCUCCAACUCCACGGCCUCCUCCACCAUGCAGACCUCCUACAGACUGCCCAACCCGCUGCCCCCCCUGCCCGUGCGCAAGGGGGUCAGAGGUCGCCGGCCCAAGUCGCAAACCAUCGCUCUGUUGAAGGCGGCGGCCGAGGCGGCGGCGGCGGCGGCGAGCGUGACCGGAGUGUCAGAGAGCCCUGUGAGGGCCACUCAGCUGGCCCCCCACAGACCACAUAGGAAGCGAGGGCCCAAGCCUGGGAGCAAGAGGAAGUCCCGGGUGUUGCCGUCGCUGGGGUCGUCAUCCAUCAAAGCUGCUCCGCCUCCAGAGAGCAGACUGAGCUCCAGCCACGUCUCAGUGGACAGUCACCAUAGCAACAGCACCGGCGUGGUCUGCACAGUCUGCGUCUACGUCAACAAACAUGGCGACUACGGCCCGCAUCUGGACCGCAAACUGGUGCAGCAGCUGCCAGACCACUUCGGUCCUGCUCCCGUCAACGCUGUGCUGCAGCAGGCUGUGCAGGCGUGUGUGGACUGUACGUACCAGCCCUCGGUCCUGCUGGCCUUCCUGCAGAGCCAGUCCCACACGGGAGGAGAGGUCAUCCGAGUGCGCUCCGAGCAUGGCAUCCGCUACGUCAAGCUGCCCUCCGUCACCUGCGCCUCCACCGUGCUCAGGUUCUUGGAGAACAUGUGUCAGCACCUGGAGAGUGUCAGCCUCUUCAGCACGCAGCCCUUCAGCUCCUACAACAAGAACACACGCUUCUUGGACAGGACCAAGUCAGAACCAGUGUCCCAGACGGAGAACGGUGUUUCCAAGGAUGAGAUCAUCAAAGAUGGUGUUGCCAAGGCGAGGUCUCCUCACGUGACCACAGACUACCGGGCGGCAAAGAGGGAGCGGCCAUAUUUCACCUCCCACUCGCACACACCUCCACCUGUGCGGCGAGUCAGCUCCACCCCCAGCGAGCACAGCCAGGUGUCGAGCCACAGACGUGUGGAAGCAGCCAGCUCCACUACAGGACCAGACCACGUGACUCAGGACAAGGACACUUCAGCCACUGAUGCUACUUCCUGGUCAGUGGAGGAAGUCAUACGCUUUGUGCAGGAGGCUGACCCACUCACCCUUGGUCCUCAUGUGGACCUCUUUAGGAAACAUGAGAUCGACGGGCGAGCGCUGAUGUUGCUGCGCAGUGAUGUCAUCAUGAAGUACAUGGGACUGAAGUUAGGUCCUGCUCUCAAACUCUGUCACCACAUCGACAAACUGAAACUAAGCAAACAAUGAAAGUACUUUCUUCUUCAAGUACUCCUCAUGCUGCUGUCAAUCAUUCUUCCAAAUCAACCACACAAACAUGACAUCAUUGCUCUUUGAUGUUCUCCCAUGUAAUCUAUUACUUACAAAGCAGCAUUGUGGUGAUCAGCAGCAGAAAUAUGAGGCUGUCAGGAUGUCUUUAUUACAAAACAAUGACUUUAUACAACUGAACAACUUCCUUUUUCUAUCAAAUUAUGCUGACGGUUUUAGUGAACAACUAAUUGUUGAAAUACAUUGUUUUAAAACAUUCCGUGUUCAAAAAUUCAGUAUUAAAAAAAUCAGUGUAUGAAAAUGCAGUGCAAAAAAAGGCAGUGUAUAAAAUUUGUGUAAAAAAAUGUUAUUGUAAAAAAGAAAUCAGUGUAUGAAAAUUCAAUUUGACAUAAAUUCCAUGCAUAAAAAUGUGUCGCUGCAAAACUGCAAACUGACUUCAGUAAAUGAAGCAAUCGAUCGUGUCUUCAAAGCUUCACUCUUUAUUUACCUGAAGAACAGAAGUUUCUGCACAUCUCUUACGUACACUUUUAUUUGUAUGAACUGACAUUUCUCAACCGAAGUUUUGUACGUUGAAUUUUAAAACCACAUUUUUUUAUUCCAUGAAACUGUCAGCAUAAUCAGAUGUCAAACAAUUCAGUCCACAAAAAAUCAAAGGUUGAGUUUACACAUCACAACUUUCCUGUCGCUGAAACAUGUCAGUAACAUUUCAACAAGUUAUGGCAACUCCACCUCGUUUUAUCAGCCAAUAGUGAAGAAUAUUCAUGUUUUACUUGGAAGUGUGACAUCAAUCAAGUCAUAGUCUCCACACUUUAGUCACGUCCAUCCAGUGUUAGCAUGUUGUCUGCUCGUAUUGCAAGAUUUCUUUGGAACAAUUCUUUCUUUUUGUGCAGGGAAGUUCUUUCCUUAGCAGUACAAAGCAAAACACAUUUUUCCGGCUGGUUGGUUGAUCCUCAUUUCACAUUGUUGCUCUUCAUCACUUUAAUACUUUGAAGCCAUCUUUGCUUUAAUGUCAAACUCAGGUUUUUUCCAUCUUUUCUCCAGUGUUUCACAGUAGCAGACCAUAGAAGAUGCUCCUAGUGGGCCACCAUACACCCGAGAGACUCUCAGACCAGGAGAAACUACGUUUGUAAAGGAUCUGGUCUGAUUGAUGAGACAAAGAUCCCAGUCUUUGGCGUGAAUGUUUUGGAGGAAACAUCACCAGGACAACACCACCCCGACGGUGAAGCAUGCUGGUGGCGGCAUCAUUUUGUGGGGGUGGCUUUUUAAUCAGGAACUGGUGGACUAGUCAGGAUAGAGGGAAAGAUGAAUGCAGCAAUGUACGGAGACACCCUGCAUGAAAACCUUCCCAUCCAAGCUGAUGGAGCUUGAGAGGAACGAGAGAAGCUGCCCAAAGAUAGGUGUGCCAAGUUUGAAGCUUUGAACUCGGAAAUGGAAGCGCCCUUUUCAUCUUCUGGCCGUCUAUAACGUUUCUACCCGUAUGGAUUAUUCAUUCGUCACUCCAAAUGACGUUUGCGAGUUUUACAAUAAAACAAUUCUUACUUACCAAAGUGUCCC